UGGGGAAUAUUGCACAAUGGGCGCAAGCCUGAUGCAGCCAUGCCGCGUGUGUGAAGAAGGCCUUCGGGUUGUAAAGCACUUUCAGCGAGGAGGAAGGUGGUGAGCUUAAUACGCUCAUCAAUUGACGUUACUCGCAGAAGAAGCACCGGCUAACUCCGUGCCAGCAGCCGCGGUAAUACGGAGGGUGCAAGCGUUAAUCGGAAUUACUGGGCGUAAAGCGCACGCAGGCGGUUUGUUAAGUCAGAUGUGAAAUCCCCGGGCUCAACCUGGGAACUGCAUUUGAAACUGGCAAGCUAGAGUCUCGUAGAGGGGGGUAGAAUUCCAGGUGUAGCGGUGAAAUGCGUAGAGAUCUGGAGGAAUACCGGUGGCGAAGGCGGCCCCCUGGACGAAGACUGACGCUCAGGUGCGAAAGCGUGGGGCAGCAAACAGGAUUAGAUACCCUGGUAGUCCACGCUGUAAAACGAUGUCGACUUUGGAGGUUGUGCCCUUGAGGCGUGGCUUCCGGAGCUAACGCGUUAAAUCGACCGCCUGGGGAGUACGGCCGCAAGGUUAAAACUCAAGGGAAUUGCGGGUC
RNAcentral lists this ribosomal RNA (574 nucleotides) under uncultured bacterium. RNAcentral's name for it is "partial 16S ribosomal RNA". It matches the Rfam family "Bacterial small subunit ribosomal RNA", at positions 355 to 918 of the family's 1533-position model. The record is from RNAcentral.